Ribosomal RNA from Selaginella moellendorffii, 278 nucleotides. It matches the Rfam family "Eukaryotic large subunit ribosomal RNA", at positions 675 to 954 of the family's 3401-position model. The record is from Rfam. Lineage: Eukaryota; Viridiplantae; Streptophyta; Lycopodiopsida; Selaginellales; Selaginellaceae.
CUAACAUGUAUGCGAGUCUGUGGGUGUUAAACCCGUACAGGCGAAAGGAAACUAAUUCGUGGGAUCCCCUUCGGGGGUGCACCACGGACCGACCUUGAUCUUUUGAGAAGGGUUUGAGUGUUAGCAUACCUGCUGGGACCCGAAAGAUGGUGAACUAUGCCUGAGCAGGGCGAAGCCAGAGGAAACUCUGGUGGAGGCUCGUAGCGAUACUGACGUGCAAAUCGUUCGUCAGACUUGGGUAUAGGGGCGAAAGACUAAUCGAACCAUCUAGUAGCUGG